RNAcentral lists this long non-coding RNA (3030 nucleotides) under Sus scrofa (pig). RNAcentral describes it as "lncRNA (ENSSSCG00000055415.1)". Lineage: Eukaryota; Metazoa; Chordata; Mammalia; Artiodactyla; Suidae. The record is from RNAcentral.
AGGGAGAGAACAUCAACCAUGCAAAGAUUAUUUGGAGACCUUACACAAGAGAAAUUCUCCUGACGUACUGGUUGAAGAUUAGGCCAUCAACAGCAAAGAUACUCUUAGAACAUUUCUUCAGAAGCCUCAUAGACUUGCUCUUAGUGUUAACUAUUAUGACAGUUCAACUACCCCCACUCCCUGGCCAAAUCUCAGAUAACACUUGGAUAAAGCAUAUAGUGAAAUGAUGGUUUAGGAUUGCAGCUAAAAGAAAUCAGAUGCAUGGUUCUUCCUUACAUUUAUUAGCAUUAUUACAUGAGUUAAUCAAAUGAUUCUGGGAAACCUUUAUGCCCUGACCCUUUCCCAGUAGUAUAGAUGAAUGACAAUGGAACCUUUCCAGCAGUGGACUAUCACAAUGUGGUGGAUCAGGACAAAGGAACUGUCUCCAAGAGGCCAGGAAUAGCCACUGGUCUGCAUCUUUCAUAGCAGGAAUUCUGUUAGUACAUCAUCAAACUGUCCUCUCAGAUAUUUGGGCAAUAAAAUGCUUUGAGACAAAAAAUACAAAGGGUCAAGUUGAUACCCUUUUUAACACAAAGGUAGUUUUAUUUUACUAAAGAUUUAUGCUAGGAGUUCCCACCAUGGCACAGUGGUAAGGAACUCGACUAGUAUUCAUGAGGACAUGUGUUCGAUCCCUGGCCAUCAUCUAUCUUGACAUCAAUACCACACUAUCUUGACAUCUAUAACUUAUCGCUCAGUGGGUUAAGGAUCCAGCAUUGCCGUGGACAGUGGUAUAGGUCAUAGACGUGGCUUGGAUCAGGCGUUGCUGUGGCUGUGGUGCAGGCUGGCAGCUGCAGCUCUGAUUUGAUCCCUGGCAUAUCUUCAGGUAAAAUAAGAUAGAGGGAAAAAUUCAAAAUUGUAAAACUUAUACAUUCAAUGAAUUUUGUAUAAAAUCUGGCUCCAAACAAUAUCCCCAAAUUUAACUCCAUGACAAAUGCUUAAUUACCUGUUGUCAGUAAAAUUGAUAUUACUGAGGUUACACUUUGAAAUGAUGUUAUCUCUGUUGUACUUAAUUAGGGAAACAGGAGGCAAACACAUACACACAUACAUAAUUAUAUUCACAUGGCCAGUUUCUUGAGUUAUCUAAAUUAAGCAGAGUGAAAACAUGAGAUAGUCUUAUCUCUCUCCAAUCACAGUCAUCAAUAAUGCUCUAUGGAAUUUCAUUUUCACAUCACUUAAUGAAAAACUGGUCAAAUUCAAUAAUUUCAAAAAAAUUAUUUUAGUAUUUAGCCUGGUUUAAAACCUUAAUCAUCUUCCUUCCUCUGUGUUAUAUGUUCAAUCUUGAUGUGGAAUUCUUGACUGUUAAUUGUGAAGGAUGGUAGAAAGUAUAAGGUAUAGGUCAAAUGUACAAUUUGGUAAGUUUUUACACAUAUAUAUACCCAGGAAAUUACCACCCCAAUCAAGGGUGUGACUCAGAAUGUGUGAGAUUCUGUGCAUGCCCUUUCAGAGCAGAGUCUCCAUUUCCUACAGCCCCCUAGCUCUCCCAAACAGAAGUCCUACUGGCCUUCAAAGGCAUAUGUUCCAGGUACUCAUCUUCCUGGUGCAGAACCCCCAGGAUGGAGAUCUUGUUUAGUGUCUCUGCUCUUCCUACCCAUUUGUUCCAGUUCCUCUUUAUAUCUUUAAUUUUGGGAAAUCUUUCCUGCUAGUCUUCAGUCUGUUCUCCUAGAUAGCUGCUUUGUAAAUAGCUGUAAUUUUGGUGUCUUUGUGGCAGAAAGGGAGCCUAAGUUCUACCAUCUUGGCCAAACUUUUUCACCUCUCAUUUUUUUGCCAUCAUUUAUCUCGACACCAAUACCACACUAUCUUGGCAUCUAUAGUACGCAAGUCUUCCAGUCAGGUGAUAUAAGUCCUAUGAAUUUGCUGUUAUUUUUCAAAGUUUUUGAACAAACCCUAUAGUUUGUGCAUUUCCAAAUGAAUUGUAAAAUUAUGCUGAUUUCUAUAAUUAAGCCCAUUGGGAUUUUGAUUGGGAUUAUACUGAAUCUACUGCUCAACUGAGGAGAAUCAACAUCUUCAGUCUUAAUCGUAACAUCUCUAAACUCAUAAAUAAGGCAUGAUCUCUCAGUUUAGUCUUUAAUUUCAUCUAAAAUACAUAUUUCAAUUUUGAUUCUAUCAGUUUAUUUCAUUUCUGAUAAUUUUUUUUAGCAAAUAGAAAUACAAUUGAUAUUUGUAUAUUAAUCUCAUAUCAAGCAACUUUUUAAAAUCACUUAUUAGUUCUAGUAGUUCUGUAGUAGAUUCUCUAGGUUCUCUUUUUCUGGAGAACUCUGAUACAGCUACACAAGCUGACAUACAGACAUUAUACAACAAAAUGGGCAGGUAGGCCAAAUGACCAGGUCCUUACUUGAUUACACCAUAGUAUUACUUCUCAAUUUUAAUGAUAUCAUUCCCCCAAAGGACAUUUGGCAAUAUCUGGAGACAUUUUGGGUUGUCACAAAAAGAAGGGAUGCUACAGACAUAUACUAGGUAAAAGACACAGAUGAUACUAAACUUCCUACACUACACAGGAUAUCUCUCCCACAACAAAUAAUUACCCAGCCCAAGAUGUUAAUACUGCUGAGAUUUAGAAACACUGCCCUGAGUUGAAGUCCAUCACUUGAGAAACUCUGAUCAUACAUAGAGCAUUUAAUCAUUAAUGCCUCUGUGUUAAUUAUGACUAAACCACCAAGGACACUAGUGAUAUCAAGAAACUUUUCAACAUCAAAGAGGUUUAAAUCAACAAAUAAAAAUAGUACAAGAAGCAAAUAACACUCAAAGUCUAUGAAAAUGCUUUCAAAUUUGAAUAGGACACACUUCACUCAAUUUGGAAUUAAAUCCAGGCAACCCUCAAUUGGUGUGAGAUUAGGAUAAAAAUAUUUUCAGAUCAGUAAAGUUUUCUGUACCCUAUCUCAGUAAUCUACUGAAGGGUGUGCUUCAUAAAAGCAAAGGAGAAAGAAUAACGUGUGGGAUCCACAUGUGAAGGCUAGCAGGCAGAUAGUUCAGACUGAGGAGGGAAGAUGGAGU